CUCGAAUUUAGAAGAGCUAAGAAUAUAUAUAUAUUAAUGUUGAAAAAUUACUUAUAAUAUUUUCUUUGUUAUUAGACGUUAGGCGAUUUUAAAUAUAUCUAGUUUUUUAAGAAAUUAAUUUAAUUGGGCUGGUUUAAUUGAUUAUUUUAUUUAAAAAUUAAUUUUUAAGCUAAGUAAUAUUCAAGGGGAUAAGCUUUUGAGUAGAUUUUUAUAAGAUUUUAUUUAUUAAAAGUUUAAUAGGAAUAGAAGUUUUCAUUUUUUGUAGUGUUUUAUAUCAAGAUUUUUAGAGAGGUAAUUUGUUUUGUUUUAGAUUUUUUAUUAAAAUAUUAAAUGGAAUUAUGAAGUUUAAGAGAUAAUGAUAGAAUUAGUAUAGUUAAAUGUUUGAGGAAUUUAGAAUUGGAAGGUUUAGUUAAGUAAUUCGGCAAAUUGAUUUUCUGCCUGUUUAUUAAAAACAUGGCCUUUUGGGAAUAAUUUAAGGUCUGGCCUGCCCAAUGAGUUGAUUAAAUGGCCGCGGUACUUUGACCGUGCAAAGGUAGCAUAAUCAUUAGUUUUUUAAUUGAAAGCUGGUAUGAACGGUCGGACAAGAAAAUUACUGUCUCAAUUAAAUGGUUUUAGAAUUUUAUUUUUUAGUAAGAAGGCUAAAAUAGAUUUAGGGGACGAGAAGACCCUAUAGAAUUUUAUAAGCUUUAUGAGAUUGAAUUUUUAGUUUAAUUAUUUUGAUUUUAUAAGGUUUAUUUUGUUGGGGUGAUGGAAAAAUUUGAUAAACUUUUUUUUUUAUUAAUUCACUUAUAUGUGUUUUGAUGAUCCGUUGUGAAGCGAUUAUAAGAUUAAAUUACCUUAGGGAUAACAGCGUAAUUAGUUUGGAGAGUUCUUAUUGAUAAACUAGUUUGCGACCUCGAUGUUGGAUUAAAAUAAACUUUUGGUGUAGGGGCUGAAAAGUUAAGUCUGUUCGACUUUUAAAAUUUUACAUGAUCUGAGUUUAAACCGGCGUGAGCCAGGUUGGUUUCUAUCUUUAGAAAGUUUUAAUAUUUUAGUACGAAAGGACCAAGUAUU
RNAcentral lists this ribosomal RNA (1053 nucleotides) under Dorcus hansi. Its description in RNAcentral is "16S ribosomal RNA". The stretch from base 625 to 1053 matches the Rfam family "Bacterial large subunit ribosomal RNA", at positions 2048 to 2700 of the family's 2925-position model. Lineage: Eukaryota; Metazoa; Arthropoda; Insecta; Coleoptera; Lucanidae. The record is from RNAcentral.